UACAGAGGUCCCAAGCGUUGUUCGGAUUCACUGGGCGUAAAGGGUGCGUAGGCGGUCGGGUAAGUCUGAUGUGAAAUCUCACAGCUUAACUGUGAAACUGCAUUGGAUACUAUCCGGCUCGAGGAAUGGAGGGGAGACUGGAAUACUUGGUGUAGCAGUGAAAUGCGUAGAUAUCAAGUGGAACACCAGUGGCGAAGGCGAGUCUCUGGACCGGUACUGACGCUGAAGCGCGAAAGCGUGGGGAGCAAACGGG
This 253-nucleotide ribosomal RNA is filed under the name uncultured bacterium. RNAcentral describes it as "partial 16S ribosomal RNA". It matches the Rfam family "Bacterial small subunit ribosomal RNA", at positions 524 to 776 of the family's 1533-position model. The record is from RNAcentral.